Molecule: ribosomal RNA, 301 nt
Filed under: uncultured bacterium
Lineage: Bacteria
Description: partial 16S ribosomal RNA
Rfam family: Bacterial small subunit ribosomal RNA
Source: RNAcentral
CAGUCGCCGCGGUAAUGCGUAGGUGGCAAGCGUUGUCCGGAAUUAUUGGGCGUAAAGGGCUCGCAGGCGGUUUCUUAAGUCUGAUGUGAAAGCCCCCGGCUCAACCGGGGAGGGUCAUUGGAAACUGGGAAACUUGAGUGCAGAAGAGGAGAGUGGAAUUCCACGUGUAGCGGUGAAAUGCGUAGAGAUGUGGAGGAACACCAGUGGCGAAGGCGACUCUCUGGUCUGUAACUGACGCUGAGGAGCGAAAGCGUGGGGAGCGAACAGGAUUAGAUACCCCUGUAGUCCCUGUCUCUUAUAC